RNAcentral lists this ribosomal RNA (569 nucleotides) under uncultured bacterium. RNAcentral's name for it is "partial 16S ribosomal RNA". It matches the Rfam family "Bacterial small subunit ribosomal RNA", at positions 355 to 914 of the family's 1533-position model. The record is from RNAcentral.
UGGGGAAUAUUGCACAAUGGGCGCAAGCCUGAUGCAGCCAUGCCGCGUGUGUGAAGAAGGCCUCCGGGUUGUAAAGCACUUUCAGCGAGGAGGAAGGUGGUGAACUUAAUACGUUCAUCAGUUGACGUUACUCGCAGAAGAAGCACCGGCUAACUCCGUGCCAGCAGCCGCGGUAAUACGGAGGGUACAAGCGUUAAUCGGAAUUACUGGGCGUAAAGCGCACGCAGGCGGUUUGUUAAGUCAGAUGUGAAAUCCCCGGGCUCAACCUGGGAACUGCAUUUGAAACUGGCAAGCUAGAGUCUCGUAGAGGGGGGUAGAAUUCCAGGUGUAGCGGUGAAAUGCGUAGAGAUCUGGAGGAAUACCGGUGGCGAAGGCGGCCCCCCUGGACGAAGACUGACGCUCAGGUGCGAAAGCGUGGGGCAGCAAACAGGAUUAGAUACCCUGGUAGUCCACGCUGUAAACGAUGUCGAUUUGGAGGUUGUGCCCUUGAGGCGUGGCUUCCGGAGCUAACGCGUUAAAUCGACCGCCUGGGGAGUACGGCCGCAAGGUUAAAACUCAAAUGAAUUGAC